CAAAGGCUUGGUCCUGACUUUACUAUCGACUCUACCUAAACUUACACAUGCAAGUCUCCGCUUCCCCGUGAGAAUGCCCACAGUUCCCUGCCCGGGAACAAGGAGCUGGUAUCAGGCACAUACUUUUAAGCCCACGACACCUUGCUUAGCCACACCCCCAAGGGUACUCAGCAGUGAUAGACAUUAAGCCAUAAGUGAAAACUUGACUUAAUUAUAGGUAAGAGGGCCGGUAAAACUCGUGCCAGCCACCGCGGUUAGACGAGAGGCCCAAGUUGAUAGACAACGGCGUAAAGAGUGGUUAGGGGCUGCAACAAACUAAAGCUGAAUGCUCUCAAGACUGUUAUACGUACCCGAGAGUCCGAAACCCAACUACGAAAGUGGCUUUAUUAAACCCGACCCCACGAAAGCUAAGGAACAAACUGGGAUUAGAUACCCCACUAUG
Molecule: ribosomal RNA, 442 nt
Filed under: Zeugopterus norvegicus (Norwegian topknot)
Lineage: Eukaryota; Metazoa; Chordata; Actinopteri; Pleuronectiformes; Scophthalmidae
Description: Phrynorhombus norvegicus (Norwegian topknot) partial small subunit ribosomal RNA
Rfam family: Bacterial small subunit ribosomal RNA
Source: RNAcentral